Molecule: non-coding RNA, 76 nt
Organism: Myotis brandtii (Brandt's bat)
Lineage: Eukaryota; Metazoa; Chordata; Mammalia; Chiroptera; Vespertilionidae
Source: Rfam
GGUGGUUUUCGGGUGACGCACCCUGGAAUCAGGCUCCCUCCUCUCUGGUUCCAGGGUGCGUCACCUAAGAACUGCC